UGGAUCCUGAGUACGACGGAGCACGUGAAAUUCCGUCGGAAUCUGGGAGGACCAUCUCCUAAGGCUAAAUACUCUCUAGUGACCGAUAGUGAACCAGUACCGUGAGGGAAAGGUGAAAAGCACCCCGGAAGGGGAGUGAAAUAGAACCUGAAACCGUGUGCUUACAAGUAGUCAGAGCCCGUUAAUGGGUGAUGGCGUGCCUUUUGUAGAAUGAACCGGCGAGUUACGAUUUGAUGCAAGGUUAAGCAGUAAAUGUGGAGCCGUAGCGAAAGCGAGUCUGAAUAGGGCGUUUAGUAUUUGGUCGUAGACCCGAAACCAGGUGAUCUACCCUUGGUCAGGUUGAAGUUCAGGUAACACUGAAUGGAGGACCGAACCGACUUACGUUGAAAAGUGAGCGGAUGAACUGAGGGUAGCGGAGAAAUUCCAAUCGAACCUGGAGAUAGCUGGUUCUCUCCGAAAUAGCUUUAGGGCUAGCCUCAAGUGAUGAUUAUUGGAGGUAGAGCACUGUUUGGACGAGGGGCCCCUCUCGGGUUACCGAAUUCAGACAAACUCCGAAUGCCAAUUAAUUUAACUUGGGAGUCAGAACAUGGGUGAUAAGGUCCGUGUUCGAAAGGGAAACAGCCCAGACCACCAGCUAAGGUCCCAAAAUAUAUGUUAAGUGGAAAAGGA
RNAcentral lists this ribosomal RNA (669 nucleotides) under Staphylococcus aureus. Its description in RNAcentral is "partial 23S ribosomal RNA". It matches the Rfam family "Bacterial large subunit ribosomal RNA", at positions 402 to 1073 of the family's 2925-position model. Lineage: Bacteria; Bacillati; Bacillota; Bacilli; Caryophanales; Staphylococcaceae. The record is from RNAcentral.